AUCUGGAGAUCAUCCCUCUUGGAGUCCCUUUGUGAGCCCAGGACAUGGUGUCAGUGUUCAGCUCCCUGAAUGAGCUCACUAUAAAGCUUCAUGGGAAGUUAAGAUGAGGUGGCAAUGUUCAGCCAGCAUCCAGGAAUGAAGAGCAGAACUGGGUUCAACUGUCACCCAACUGCAGAUAUUCAGAAAUUCCACAGCCAAACUCUCAAGAAUAGUCUUGAUGGGUUCAGAUAGAUAUUUGUGCUCUGAAAAGUAGAAUGGUGGAAACAAGAAUGAUCUUCAACUUUCAUUCAGGGAUCACUGCAACUAAGACCACUUUUCAGUUAGUGACAUCUUUGCUGGUAGGAAGAUAUAAAUCAGAUGCCUUUUAAAGGAAGGUGUUUCUUUUUAUCAUUUUUCUUCUUUAGGAGUAAGCAAUAUCACUUACUUACAGAAGUAAACAUAGAACAGCAGAAUUUGAUUCCUCCCCUCCCCCAGCAUAAGUAGGCAGAAAAAAGUAAUGACUUUGCACAGAAACUAAAUGAAACUAAACAGUGCUUUCUGGGGGUUUGGUGCAGUAAAUCUCCAUGCUACUGAAAGCAGAAAAAACCCACUACUGUCAAACAGACCACACUGAUCCCUUUUACCAUCACCAAUCUUUCUGCCACAGAUUAUGCUGCCUCUGUCCAUACUUGCCUCCUUCCACCACUGUGGAUCUGUCCCCCUAUGAACAUCACUGGAAGAAAAAAAAGAUCAGGGCUAAGAAUGAAGUAUCAGCAUUGCACUGUAAUGAUUUUACACUUUGUUUAAUGCUCUUUUUUUCUGGUUUGCAGAAAGCUGAAUGUGUUUGUUUAAGCAGUAUUUUGAAAAAAUAGAAUUGUGAGGCUCUGAUUCUAUAAAUACCUGCACUUGAGUCAAGCUUAAGAGCCAAUGAUGGCACACAUGUGAUGCUCACUGAGAGGCACAGCCUGAGGCUUUGAUCAUCAGAGGUUUUGAUGAUACUUGCUAAGCCUUCAUGGAAUCAUGCUGACCAAUUUCAGUGUUUGAAGAGUUUAAGAUGGGGAGGGGGAAUAAAUUAAACUGCCUUCAGCAGCUAUGUUUCUGUCAUGAAACACAGUAAAUGAAUUGAAAUAUGAAUUUACAAAUAAAUAUAUAGUAAUAAAGGUGUAGUUUACC
This 1152-nucleotide long non-coding RNA is filed under the name Gallus gallus (chicken). Its description in RNAcentral is "lncRNA (ENSGALG00010002190.1)". The record is from RNAcentral. Lineage: Eukaryota; Metazoa; Chordata; Aves; Galliformes; Phasianidae.